GGAUUAGAUACCCUGGUAGUCCACGCCGUAAACGAUGGAUGCUAGCCGUCGGGGAGCAUGCUCUUCGGUGGCGCAGCCAACGCAUUAAGCAUCCCGCCUGGGGAGUACGGUCGCAAGAUUAAAACUCAAAGGAAUUGACGGGGGCCCGCACAAGCGGUGGAGCAUGUGGUUUAAUUCGAGGCAACGCGAAGAACCUUACCAGCUCUUGACUUCCUGGUCGGGGCUCCAGAGACGGAGCUCUUCAAUUGGCCAGUGACAGGUGCUGCAUGGCUGUCGUCAGCUCGUGCCG
RNAcentral lists this ribosomal RNA (289 nucleotides) under uncultured bacterium. Its description in RNAcentral is "partial 16S ribosomal RNA". It matches the Rfam family "Bacterial small subunit ribosomal RNA", at positions 775 to 1067 of the family's 1533-position model. The record is from RNAcentral.